Molecule: non-coding RNA, 88 nt
Organism: Coniochaeta pulveracea
Lineage: Eukaryota; Fungi; Ascomycota; Sordariomycetes; Coniochaetales; Coniochaetaceae
Source: the annotation of a GenBank genome assembly
GGUCUGGUGGUGUAGCGGUUAUCACGUGUCGUUCACAUUUGUGAGCAAAUUACCGACAAGGUCCCCGGUUCGAUCCCGGGCCAGAUCA